Felis catus (domestic cat) is the source of this 2244-nucleotide long non-coding RNA. RefSeq lists it as uncharacterized. The record is from RefSeq and is a predicted model, not a curated record. NCBI's taxonomy places the organism in Eukaryota, Metazoa, Chordata, Mammalia, Carnivora, Felidae. The transcript has 6 exons.
CAAACAUGGUCAUGUGUUUGCAACAUCUGCAAUGAGCUAAUGGAGCAACUCAUAAGGGAAUGGAAUUUGGCAUUUGUCCAGAGGACCCAGAUCUACACAAAUCUUGUCCUGUUAAUUCUGCCUGCAGUGAGAGAAGUGGCUCUAAGAAAUAAAGUAAUUAUGGCAGAUCAGAGGUAGAGGAGAACUCAAGAAACCAUCCAGGAUGAUCCUGUCAUUUGAGUGAUGAAGAAACUGAGGUCCAGGCAACAGAAGGAACUUGGCAAAAAUGACAUUGGCAAUCAGUUCUCUGGACUUCCAGAGCCUUUCUGUGAGAGAAUGGCACCUACUUCCAGAGAAAUGUCAGCAAAAUAGGCAAUUAAUAUGAGUUGUCAGCACAUCUCAGAGGCAGAAGAUUAGGGUGAGUUCUUCAAGCAUUAUUAGAAUUCCAUCUUUAACACUUCUCAUGAUGGAGGGCAAAUUUGUUCCUCAAAAUGGAGAGUAAUAGGAUGAAUUUAGAAAACAUUCUUGCACCAGCCCACACCCAUAUACACACAGAGUUAUCAUUUCCUAGUAUUUGCAUGUAUUUAAUACGUAGUUUAUUAUUACCUUUUAAUUACAAUGUCUCAUACAAGACAUAAAUGGCAGCAAUCAGACUUUAGGUCUUCACAAAGCUCAAAAUGCAAUACAUGGAAUAUAACAGAUGUGUAAAUGGUUUUGAAGAGGAGAAAGCACCAAAAUGGCCUUAAUUUUUACUCAGCUUGACUAAACAUCAGAUAGCUUCUUCAGGUAUCCAUGCCCCGACCUCCCUCUCACUUGUAAUGCCCGAAGUUCCAAAGUCUCCCACAAAAGACCACCAGAGUUGUAAGUCAAAGCCAAGUGGCAAGGGUCGUUUAUUGCAGGUUCGAACCCGGACCUCUGAGCACCCGUCGCCGGUGAUGCUAAGAGGCCCUGAGUGAGGUUUUUACAGCCUUUUUAUAGACAGAUACAAACAAGUUGUGGGGAAGUUAGGAAUUUUUCGCGGUUACAGAGCGGUUAUUGGUUGAUGUCUUAAUUUAAACACUUAGCAGAAUUUAAUUGGUUCCCGCCUUUAGGUCAAACUUCAACUGGGGUAUGGGUAUCAUAAUGAUCAGUCAAGAACAUGCGGUUAUGCCAGGCAGUUGUACAGAAGCAGAACAAGCUGGUCAAGUAAGAUAAGUUUGUUUUUCUCAGACCACGAUGACUAGGCAAACAGUUUGCCCAGGUCUUUCGUUUGUUUUUUUUGUUUUUUUUCCAAGUACCUGAGGAACCAAGGGGAAGGGAAAAUAUGUUAAGCAAGCAGGUUUAUAGAAGCGAGAAAUGCCGGUUUAUGUACAAUCACUUAUUCUAUUAUAUACCAGACUACAUUUAGGAAGUUUCACAACUUACUCUAUUACAUAGCGGGUUACAUUCAGGAAAGGUUUUACAAUGCUCGUAGCAAACAGCAAGCAAAACAGACUUUUCAGCAAUUGUAUUUUUCUUUAUCAAUGAUCCAUAAUAAACAAAAAAGAGGACUUUAAACUAAGUCAUGGCUGUCAUUUGGAUUUAAAGUUGUUCUUUUCACACUGUGGCCUUUAUAGUAUCCAGAGGGCCUACUCACAAAGAUCUUUCCCACAUUUUCUUAUUUACUUUAGUAAAUCUAUAAUUGUAAAUUCUUUUUCUACUCCUAUGAGAAGUAACUUGUUUUUAAAGUCUCUCACCAGUUUUAGAACCCAUGACCACCCAAGGACUUGGGAGCCAUCUCUUUGAAAUAAACUCAUCAAAGAAGAGAAUAUCUCUGUCAAUCUCUGUAGGAGGAUGGAAGCCUAACUUCUCUGCUCCAUUUUGUAAAAUCCCUCUUGUCAUAAAGUUGGCUUACCCCAUCCAGACUCAUCCUCCUGCUUUGUCACCCAAAUGACUGACUUCCACAGAUUUCAUUCUUUGUCCUAAAUUCUGGUUGGGUUUGACCAGUGAAAGAAGAAUUCAGAGAGGUUUUGAAGUAUGGGAUUCAUCACCAUUCCACCUGACUCUCAACUAUCCACCAGGCACAUGAAGCUACCACUGGAUUCAAUUGUAUUUCUUGGACUCUCUUCUUUGUGUAGGGCAAAUGACAGUCCUAUCCAGCACUGGGAGUACUCUGUGGAACCAAACAGACAAAUAAGCAAGAAGCAUGGUUCCUGCUCUCACUAAACUUAUAGACUAAUACAGGGGAGACAACACCUGUCAAAGAAUGGACCGUCACAACUGUAAUAAACAUUACCAAGAAUAUUA